CUCUUGAGAGCGGCGGACGGGUGAGUAAUGCCUAGGAAUCUGCCUGGUAGUGGGGGAUAACGCUCGGAAACGGACGCUAAUACCGCAUACGUCCUACGGGAGAAAGCAGGGGACCUUCGGGCCUUGCGCUACCAGAUGAGCCUAGGUCGGAUUAGCUAGUUGGUGAGGUAAUGGCUCACCAAGGCGACGAUCCGUAACUGGUCUGAGAGGAUGAUCAGUCACACUGGAACUGAGACACGGUCCAGACUCCUACGGGAGGCAGCAGUGGGGAAUAUUGGACAAUGGGCGAAAGCCUGAUCCAGCCAUGCCGCGUGUGUGAAGAAGGUCUUCGGAUUGUAAAGCACUUUAAGUUGGGAGGAAGGGCAGUAAAUUAAUACUUUGCUGUUUUGACGUUACCGACAGAAUAAGCACCGGCUAACUCUGUGCCAGCAGCCGCGGUAAUACAGAGGGUGCAAGCGUUAAUCGGAAUUACUGGGCGUAAAGCGCGCGUAGGUGGUUCGUUAAGUUGGAUGUGAAAUCCCCGGGCUCAACCUGGGA
RNAcentral lists this ribosomal RNA (537 nucleotides) under uncultured Pseudomonas sp. Its description in RNAcentral is "bacterial SSU rRNA". It matches the Rfam family "Bacterial small subunit ribosomal RNA", at positions 86 to 619 of the family's 1533-position model. Lineage: Bacteria; Pseudomonadati; Pseudomonadota; Gammaproteobacteria; Pseudomonadales; Pseudomonadaceae. The record is from RNAcentral.